Molecule: unclassified non-coding RNA, 266 nt
Filed under: Hevea brasiliensis (rubber tree)
Lineage: Eukaryota; Viridiplantae; Streptophyta; Magnoliopsida; Malpighiales; Euphorbiaceae
Source: RNAcentral
AAGUCACAAAGCUUUGAUGCUGAAACAAAAUAGAGGGCGAUGCCUCCCAAAAUUCAUAUCAGAUAAUCUCAGAAGUAUAUCAAACAAGCUUGAUGAAACCUGUAUUUAAUCCCACUUAAAAAUUUAAAAGGAAAACAAAAUAGAAUCCUCUUUUGGAUCUGAUUUGCGUGAUGCACGAUUAUUAUUGCCAGAUUAAAAGACUAGAAAAGCUCUGAAGUAAAUGCAAAUCACCGCCCCUAGCAAAAGCCCAGCUCCCAGUCCCAAGG